This 28-nucleotide non-coding RNA is filed under the name Arabidopsis thaliana (thale cress). The record is from RNAcentral. RNAcentral also lists the same sequence under 1 other name. Lineage: Eukaryota; Viridiplantae; Streptophyta; Magnoliopsida; Brassicales; Brassicaceae.
GCUCAGAACUGGUACGGACAAGGGGAAU